CUUGACCGAGCCCAGCAGCAACGGGGUGGUCCGGUCCUGGCCGUAGGUGGCCAGCAGCGCCUGCGCCUC
RNAcentral lists this antisense RNA (69 nucleotides) under Umezawaea tangerina. RNAcentral's name for it is "ASpks TB sRNA". It matches the Rfam family "ASpks TB sRNA". The record is from Rfam by way of RNAcentral. Lineage: Bacteria; Bacillati; Actinomycetota; Actinomycetes; Pseudonocardiales; Pseudonocardiaceae.